UCGACCAACUCUUCAGGAUCAUAUGUGGAGUCUGUCGUACCUCGCUUUGUUUUCUAACAAAGUCGCACAUAUCACCGUAGGAUGAUGAGACGAAGGGCCUCUAUCCAACAAGAAGUGGGGAGCGUUUGAGAUGUGCCUUUUGGUCGUCUCCCUCCCGUUGAAGAUUUCUCCUCUGGGAUAUUCCAACCCGGUAGGAAGGAUGGUGGGCCCCGUCUGACUCGG
RNAcentral lists this small nucleolar RNA (222 nucleotides) under Spizellomyces punctatus DAOM BR117. RNAcentral describes it as "Small nucleolar RNA U3". It matches the Rfam family "Small nucleolar RNA U3". From Rfam's summary of the family: Small nucleolar RNAs (snoRNAs) are involved in the processing and modification of rRNA in the nucleolus. There are two main classes of snoRNAs: the box C/D class, and the box H/ACA class. Lineage: Eukaryota; Fungi; Chytridiomycota; Chytridiomycetes; Spizellomycetales; Spizellomycetaceae. The record is from Rfam by way of RNAcentral.